GCCGCCAUUUUACGUUAAACCGCGAAGCGUGUCUGCUAGGUUGGUUGCAUGCGAGGAGACCGGAACAGAUUCAACACUUCAGUUCGUUAAGUUUAAUUUUUCAUUUGAUUGUUUUUUGUUUUCUUUGACAAAAUGAGUUACGGUCGGCCGCCACCCGACGUGGAGGGCAUGACUUCACUCAAAGUUGACAAUUUGACAUACCGCACAUCUCCAGAAACGCUGAGGCGCGUUUUCGAAAAGUAUGGGCGAGUGGGAGACGUGUAUAUUCCUCGUGAUAGGUACACAAAAGAGAGCCGCGGGUUUGCCUUCGUUCGAUUUAUGGACAAACGGGAUGCAGAGGACGCGAUGGACGCUAUGGAUGGAGCCUUGCUAGAUGGGCGCGAAUUGCGAGUGCAAAUGGCACGUUACGGGCGCCCACCAGACUCCCAUUAUGGGCGCCGAGGGGGGCCCCCGUCGAGAAGAUAUGGUGGUAGUGGUGGUGGGGGUGGAGGAGGAGGUGGUGGUGGUGGUGGAGGUGGUUAUGGACGCAGAAGCCGGAGCCAUAGCCCACGCCGCCGAAGAAGGGGAAGCCGUUCAAGGAGCAGGAGUCGGUCCCGCAGUCGUAGCCGGUCCCGCUACAGCCGCUCAAGGUCCAGGUCCUACUCGCGCUCCCGGUCCAGGUCCAAGACUCGCACGCCGCGAAGGAGCAAGUCCAAGUCGGCAUCCAGAUCUCGCUCCCGGUCAAAGUCCAAGUCCCGCUCCAGAAGCCGCACUCCAGCCUCCAACAAAGGCUCCAAGUCGAGGUCAAGAUCGAGAAGCCGACCCAAGUCUCCUGAAGACAACGAAACGGCACCGUCCUGAGGAAAAGCUGCUGGUUCCUGUUUGCAUAAGAGGAGUAUGGGGUGCAGGUUGAGCAGUUAGUGUGAGAGCCGGCCAUUGGGGCACCCUGCUGUGAUUGGCGGUUGCUAAGGAGCAGGUCGGUGUCUAUGAGUGUUGAGGUGGUUUUGAGCUAAUCGAAAUAUGGUUGAGGACAUCCCAAUGACGUGAGCAGUCCGCCAGGGUACUUUCGCCGGUCUGGACACCAGAAUAAAAGGUUAUUGCUACUUGGGUCUACAUGGUUUUUAAGCAAAGUUUUGUUUAUCUUGUUGCUUUUCAGUGUCCCUACAGACUUCCUCCUGUAUUGCAUCUGUGUCUGUUGUAACUGAUGCGAAUGAUUAUUUUCUUUUUUUAGCUAAGGCCGUGUUGGCUAACCAUUUUUUGUUUGUUUUACCUGACCCUUUGUAUAGCUGAUUUUCACAUUAAAACAUGAUUGAGUCAAUAAAGGAGCAUUUUUAAAGUUCACACUAUUUACCCUUUUUUUACCAGUUUAACAGGGGGAGGAAAAAAAGCAUUUAGGCAAAUGUUGUAGUAAAUAUAAUUUUCAUCUUUGCAGAUGUAACUAACUUGGAUAAAGUUAGACUAUUUGAGUCAACCAGUCUUACUCUGCGCAAUUAAUGUUUAUUUGUCAGCGAGUAGGUGGGGCGAGACUUAUAACUCAUUAACGUAAACAUCAUGCAAGGUCCUUUUUUUUUUUUGCACACAGAAAAUGAAUGCUCCCAUCUGUAUGGAUUUCUCUGCUGUUUGUUGUCAUGCUUCUGCACCAGUGCCCUGACUCUAAUGUUCUCUCUUGUGUAUCUUUUGUGCACUAGGCGCAGUUGCGCUGCAGUUGAGUUUUGCUGGUUAGCUGUUAAAGGUGGCGUGUUGCCGUGCAGAGUGCUUGGCUGUUUCCAGUAUUCUCCUGGUUGCUCCAGUGUAACGCCCGUUAACGCCAGUGAUUUGACGUUUUUUAAGGCACACACUUUGGCUACAGCUGGUCGUCCCUGUGGUUUUGUUUUCUGUAAAAUGGUAUACCGACAUCCCUGACGUUUAAAAAUAAAAUAAAAAAACUCCCAUUCCUCUCCUCUUUUUACCCCCCAACCUCCACCCCUCUGAACUCUCCUCCCCUUCCUCAAAUACUAGAGCGUGUCUAGCCAGAUUAAUCCCCAGAUAACAUGAGCUCCAACCAUCUUGUAUCAUGACUUAAUUAAUGUACUUGCAUUUGUGAACCAUAGGCCUACAUAUUGUAGUUGUAACCGCUAAAAUGAAUGCUAUUAAAUUGUUUUGGUGUA
RNA transcript from Clupea harengus (Atlantic herring), 2126 nucleotides. It is a transcript of the gene named serine and arginine rich splicing factor 2a, with no coding region annotated. Lineage: Eukaryota; Metazoa; Chordata; Actinopteri; Clupeiformes; Clupeidae. The record is from RefSeq and is a predicted model, not a curated record.